ACCGCGACAGCUCAGCUGGUAGAGCAUCCGCCCGGUGUGCGGAGGGUCACCGGUUCGUUUCCGGCUCUCGGCG
RNAcentral lists this transfer RNA (73 nucleotides) under Fasciola gigantica. It matches the Rfam family "tRNA". Rfam says of the family: Transfer RNA (tRNA) molecules are approximately 80 nucleotides in length. Their secondary structure includes four short double-helical elements and three loops (D, anti-codon, and T loops). Lineage: Eukaryota; Metazoa; Platyhelminthes; Trematoda; Plagiorchiida; Fasciolidae. The record is from Rfam by way of RNAcentral.